GGUUCUGGCCCAGUGGAGGGGCAUCUGCUUUGUUUGCAGAAGGACCCAAGUUCAGUCCCUGGCCAGGAGCG
This 71-nucleotide transfer RNA is filed under the name Sphaerodactylus townsendi. Its description in RNAcentral is "tRNA-Thr". The record is from RNAcentral. Lineage: Eukaryota; Metazoa; Chordata; Lepidosauria; Squamata; Sphaerodactylidae.